Molecule: ribosomal RNA, 264 nt
Filed under: Bradymerus lobicollis
Lineage: Eukaryota; Metazoa; Arthropoda; Insecta; Coleoptera; Tenebrionidae
Description: partial 12S ribosomal RNA
Source: RNAcentral
GAUACCCUAUUAUUUUGANUGUNAANNNNNNAUCUUUAAUUAUUANUAGUUAAGUUCUUCAAAAUCAAACAAUUUGGCGGUAUUUUAGUCUAUUCAGAGGAACCUGUUUUUUAAUCGAUGGUCCACGAUAAUUUUUACUUUAACUUUAAAUUUACAUAUCGUCGUUAAUAAAAAUUUUAGGAGGAUUAUAAUUUUUAAGGUACGUUAUUAUGUCUUAUUUCAGAUCAAGGUGUAGUUUAUAAUAAAGUUAAAAUGGGUUACAUU